GUCAUUUGCUAAUUUUAAUUUCAAUUUUAGUUUUUUUUAAUUAGUUUUUAGUAGUAAUUCAUGGUCAAAGAGAAGAAUAUUUGAAGAAAUUGAGAUAACAAGAAGUUUGAAGACCAAAGUUCAAAAGGAAGAAAAAAUUGGAAGUUUUGAAGCAUUUGAGGCUUGCAGCCACUGUAUUUUUCGCAGAGCUACAUGAUUUCAAUCGCAGCGCGAUUUGCCACUGCAUAUAUUCAAAACGCGUGCUACAGUGUGUAUAGUGUUGCGUUCAGCUUUUUGUUUUUUUUUCUUUGAUGACGUGUCACCAUUGGAUAGGCAAGCUAGUCCUUAUUUUUUAGUGGCCACGUGACUCAUUGGUUGCUGCAUCU
This 365-nucleotide long non-coding RNA is filed under the name Trifolium pratense (red clover). RNAcentral describes it as "long non-coding RNA (TPRA_LNC007658)". The record is from RNAcentral. Lineage: Eukaryota; Viridiplantae; Streptophyta; Magnoliopsida; Fabales; Fabaceae.